UGGGGAAUAUUGCACAAUGGGCGAAAGCCUGAUGCAGCAACGCCGCGUGAGCGAUGAAGGCCUUUGGGUCGUAAAGCUCUGUCCUUGGGGAAGAAACAAAUGACGGUACCCUUGGAGGAAGCCCCGGCUAACUACGUGCCAGCAGCCGCGGUAAUACGUAGGGGGCGAGCGUUAUCCGGAAUUAUUGGGCGUAAAGGGUGCGUAGGUGGUCUGAUAAGCGUGGGGUGAAAGGCAAUAGCUUAACUAUUGUAAGCCUUGCGAACUGUCAGACUUGAGUGCAGGAGAGGAAAGUGGAAUUCCUAGUGUAGCGGUGAAAUGCGUAGAUAUUAGGAGGAACACCAGUGGCGAAGGCGACUUUCUGGACUGUAACUGACACUGAGGCACGAAAGCGUGGGGAGCAAACAGG
This 406-nucleotide ribosomal RNA is filed under the name uncultured prokaryote. RNAcentral describes it as "bacterial SSU rRNA". It matches the Rfam family "Bacterial small subunit ribosomal RNA", at positions 355 to 776 of the family's 1533-position model. The record is from RNAcentral. RNAcentral also lists the same sequence under 1 other name.